UUUCCGUAGGUGACCUGCGGAAGGAUCAUUA
RNAcentral lists this ribosomal RNA (31 nucleotides) under Cortinarius praestigiosus. RNAcentral's name for it is "partial 18S ribosomal RNA". Lineage: Eukaryota; Fungi; Basidiomycota; Agaricomycetes; Agaricales; Cortinariaceae. The record is from RNAcentral. RNAcentral also lists the same sequence under 4 other names.